UCAUUUGCAAUGGGCGAAAGCCUGACAAUGCGACGCUGCGUGGAGGAUGAAGGCCUUCGGGUUGUAAACUCCUGUCAUGAGGGAAAAGGCGAGGGUACCCAAUACGUACCUUAGUUGAUGGUACCUCAAGAGGAAGGGACGGCUAACUCUGUGCCAGCAGCCGCGGUAAU
RNAcentral lists this ribosomal RNA (170 nucleotides) under uncultured rumen bacterium. RNAcentral describes it as "partial 16S ribosomal RNA". It matches the Rfam family "Bacterial small subunit ribosomal RNA", at positions 362 to 524 of the family's 1533-position model. The record is from RNAcentral.